This 253-nucleotide ribosomal RNA is filed under the name uncultured bacterium. RNAcentral describes it as "partial 16S ribosomal RNA". It matches the Rfam family "Bacterial small subunit ribosomal RNA", at positions 524 to 776 of the family's 1533-position model. The record is from RNAcentral.
GACGGGGGGAGCAAGCGUUGUUCGGAUUUACUGGGCGUAAAGGGCGCGUAGGCGGCGUGACAAGUCACUUGUGAAAUCUCCGGGCUUAACCCGGAACGGUCAAGUGAUACUGUCGUGCUAGAGUACAGAAGGGGCAACUGGAAUUCUCGGUGUAGCGGUGAAAUGCGUGGAUAUCAAGUGGAACACCAGUGGCGAAGGCGAAUCCCUGGAAAAUACCUGACACUGAGGCACGAAAGCUAGGGGAGCAAACAGG